AAGAGUGGGGGGAGGUACAUCCCUAGAAACACUUAAAGAAGAAAGUCAGUCAAGACGUAUUCUACCUUCGACUUUUGAAGCCAACCGUUUGAAGAAAAGCAACUAGGGGUUUUUAUUUAUUGAGAUUGUGGGCGGGACUCUGGUGGCUGUAUGCUGUAGCUAUGCCAUUUAUAGCACCAAUCCUCUCAAAAGUCUGUUUGCCUUUUGUACCUGCAACUACAAAGCAGAUAAAAAAUGUGAAAAUGUUGCUAUGCAGAGGAGGAUCCCUGGUAGACAUUGGUAAUGGCGAUGGACACAUUAAUAACACAGUAAUAACAGCUGCAAAGGAAAGAUUCACAGCAGUUGGUUGUGAAUUAAAUCCGUGGCUAGUUUGGUAUUCCAAGUAUCACGGUUGGCAAGAAAGUGUGCAUGGCUCUGCCAAAUUUUAUAUUUCAGAUUUGUGGGCAGUUACUUUUUCAUAGUACUCAAACACUUAUUUUUGGUGUGCCUCUCAGAUGAUGCUGCAGUUGGAGAAGAAACUUGAACUUGAGGAUGAUGCCAGAGUCAUUGCUUGCCGGUUCCCUUUCCCCCACUGGACCCCAGACCAUGUAACCAGGGAGGGGAUAGACACAGUGUGGGCAUAUGACGUGUGCACUUUUAGAGCAGGUGAAGCCCUGAACAUCGAUGCAUUUCCAGCCAGUCAUUCAAAUAU
This 691-nucleotide long non-coding RNA is filed under the name Homo sapiens (human). RNAcentral describes it as "non-protein coding lnc-GXYLT1-3:1". Lineage: Eukaryota; Metazoa; Chordata; Mammalia; Primates; Hominidae. The record is from RNAcentral.